RNAcentral lists this ribosomal RNA (301 nucleotides) under uncultured bacterium. Its description in RNAcentral is "partial 16S ribosomal RNA". It matches the Rfam family "Bacterial small subunit ribosomal RNA", at positions 509 to 809 of the family's 1533-position model. The record is from RNAcentral.
CAGCCGCCGCGGUAAUACGGAGGGAGCUAGCGUUGUUCGGAAUUACUGGGCGUAAAGCGCACGUAGGCGGCUUUGUAAGUUAGAGGUGAAAGCCUGGGGCUCAACUCCAGAAUUGCCUUUGAGACUGCAUCGCUUGAACACGGGAGAGGUGAGUGGAAUUCCGAGUGUAGAGGUGAAAUUCGUAGAUAUUCGGAAGAACACCAGUGGCGAAGGCGGCUCACUGGACCGUUGUUGACGCUGAGGUGCGAAAGCGUGGGGAGCAAACAGGAUUAGAUACCCGUGUAGUCCCUGUCUCUUAUAA